Molecule: ribosomal RNA, 330 nt
Filed under: uncultured eukaryote
Lineage: Eukaryota
Description: partial 18S ribosomal RNA
Rfam family: Eukaryotic small subunit ribosomal RNA
Source: RNAcentral
CCCUUAGACGUUCUGGGCCGCACGCGCGCUACACUGAUGAAUUCAACGAGCUCCUAACCUAGGCCGAAGGGUCCGGGUAAUCUUUGAAAUUUCAUCGUGAUGGGGAUAGAUUAUUGCAAUUAUUAAUCUUCAACGAGGAAUUCCUAGUAAGCGCGAGUCAUCAGCUCGCGUUGAUUACGUCCCUGCCCUUUGUACACACCGCCCGUCGCUCCUACCGAUUGAAUGGUCCGGUGAAAUGUUCGGAUCGCGGCAAAUCGGACGGGUAACCGUCAGGUUCGCUGCGAGAAGUUCAUUAAACCUUAUCAUUUAGAGGAAGGAGAAGUCGUANCA